UUUCUCAUAGUUUAUAAUAAAAAUAUUACACUGAAAAUGUAAAGAAAAAUUUAUUUGAGAAAA
This 63-nucleotide transfer RNA is filed under the name Ixodes holocyclus (paralysis tick). RNAcentral describes it as "tRNA-Phe". The record is from RNAcentral. Lineage: Eukaryota; Metazoa; Arthropoda; Arachnida; Ixodida; Ixodidae.